This 88-nucleotide unclassified non-coding RNA is filed under the name Pseudomonas lini. Lineage: Bacteria; Pseudomonadati; Pseudomonadota; Gammaproteobacteria; Pseudomonadales; Pseudomonadaceae. The record is from RNAcentral.
UGUGGGAGCUGGCUUGCCUGCGAUGGCGGUGUGUCAGCCGAAUCCUAUUGGCUGAUACACCGCCAUCGCAGGCAAGCCAGCUCCCACA